Molecule: non-coding RNA, 454 nt
Organism: Ictidomys tridecemlineatus (thirteen-lined ground squirrel)
Lineage: Eukaryota; Metazoa; Chordata; Mammalia; Rodentia; Sciuridae
Source: RefSeq, a predicted model, not a curated record
GCCUCGCCCUGAGCCCAGAGGAAUGGAGCCAGCUGUCCAUGGACUGAGACCUCUGAAACUAUCCAGGUCCAAAGCCAUCAGGAGAAAAAUUUGAAAACAUGAAAAAUGCUUCUACUCCUCUUCAACUUGGCUACUUUUGAAAUUGUCUCAAUAAAAGCUAAACAAAUACUAUGAUAAAUCUUUUAGUUCCAAAGUUUCAAUUGAUUACAGGUUAAUUAAGUAUAACCCUUUAAGGCCCAACUUGAUGGGUUUCUUUUGAGAUUGUCCUAAAAUACAAAUGUAAUCUAAAAUGUAUAAAUCUCAAACUGCAUGAAUGUCAGUCUUACCUUAUGGCCCUCUGUAAUUGGGGAGAAACAAUGUAAACCCCAAACAGACAUUCUUUCCAUAUUUCAAUACCAAUUCAAUUUCAACCAUAUGAAAAAUUACACAAUUAAAUUCUAUUUUCUGAACAUAA